CAGCCGCCGCGGUAAAACCAGCACCUCGAGUGGUCAGGAGGUUUAUUGGGCCUAAAGCAUCCGUAGCCGGUUGCAUAAGUUUUCGGUUAAAUCUAUGCGCUCAACGUAUAGGCCGCCGAAAAUACUGUGCAGCUAGGGAGUGGGAGAGGUACACGGUACUCAGUAGGAAGGGGUAAAAUCCUUUGAUCUAUUGAUGACCACCUGUGGCGAAGGCGGUGUACCAGAACACGUUCGACGGUGAGGGAUGAAAGCUGGGGGAGCAAACCGGAUUAGAUACCCGGGUAGUCCCAGCUGUAAACGAUGCAGACUCGGUGAUGCAUUGGCUUGUGGCCAAUGCAGUGCCGCAGGGAAGCCGUUAAGUCUGCCGCCUGGGAAGUACGUACGCAAGUAUGAAACUUAAAGGAAUUGGCGGGGGAGCACCACAAGGGGUGAAGCCUGCGGUUCAAUUGGAGUCAACGCCAGAAAUCUUACCUGGGGAGACAGCAGAAUGAAGGUCAAGCUGAAGACUUUACCAGACACGCUGAGAGGUGGUGCAUGGCCGUCGCCAGCUCGUGCCGUGAGAUGUCCUGUUAAGUCAGGUAACGAGCGAGACCCCUGCGUCUAGUUGCUACCAUUACUCUCUGGAGCAGUGGAGCGAAUUAGACGGACCGCCACAGUUAAUGUGGAGGAAGGAAGGGGCCACGGCAGGUCAGUAUGCCCCGAAACCCUAGGGCUACACGCGGGCUGCAAUGGUAUUGACAAUGUGUUCCGAAUCCGAAAGGAGGAGGCAAUCAUUAAACAAUAUCUCAGUUAUGACUGAGGGCUGUAACUCGCCCUCACGAAUAUGGAAUCCCUAGUAACCGCGUGUCACUACCA
RNAcentral lists this ribosomal RNA (855 nucleotides) under marine metagenome. RNAcentral's name for it is "bacterial SSU rRNA". It matches the Rfam family "Archaeal small subunit ribosomal RNA", at positions 459 to 1313 of the family's 1478-position model. The record is from RNAcentral.